This 83-nucleotide transfer RNA is filed under the name Echinostoma caproni. It matches the Rfam family "tRNA". Rfam says of the family: Transfer RNA (tRNA) molecules are approximately 80 nucleotides in length. Their secondary structure includes four short double-helical elements and three loops (D, anti-codon, and T loops). The record is from Rfam by way of RNAcentral. Lineage: Eukaryota; Metazoa; Platyhelminthes; Trematoda; Plagiorchiida; Echinostomatidae.
AGUUGUGUGGCCUCAGCUGUGAGAGCAUGCGCGUACGAAGCGUAGGCGGCGUCCAUGCGUGGGUUCAAAUCCCACCGUGACUA